CAUCUCCAAAGUGGGGAAGUUCCAUUUGCCAUGAAUAGGAAUGGAUUCGGUCAGGAUGACAUCCAGACGCUUCACCUGCUCCCAGUUCAGCACGCUCAAGUUACUCAGAUUCUCUUCCAUGGCGACAGUGAAUGUCAAUGCUGCCCUCUAGAGAAAGUCAUCAGAUCUUAAACUUGAGAUGCACCUUUAUACAAGCUAGAUGUCACCCAGAAUCUAUCAGGGGGAGCGGACCUGCGUCACAGCGGUAACAGCCAAUAAAGCAGGAUUAUUCUAGAUUACCCCCUACACCAUGACUCUCUUGGGCGGCGGGCGCACUUCUGUGUGUGU
This is a long non-coding RNA of Rhinichthys klamathensis goyatoka, 327 nucleotides long. RefSeq lists it as uncharacterized. NCBI's taxonomy places the organism in Eukaryota, Metazoa, Chordata, Actinopteri, Cypriniformes, Leuciscidae. The record is from RefSeq and is a predicted model, not a curated record. The transcript is spliced from 3 exons.